This 497-nucleotide ribosomal RNA is filed under the name uncultured bacterium. Its description in RNAcentral is "partial 16S ribosomal RNA". It matches the Rfam family "Bacterial small subunit ribosomal RNA", at positions 28 to 507 of the family's 1533-position model. The record is from RNAcentral.
GAUGAACGCUGGCGGCGUGCCUAAUACAUGCAAGUCGAGCGAACGGACGAGAAGCUUGCUUCUCUGAUGUUAGCGGCGGACGGGUGAGUAACACGUGGAUAACCUACCUAUAAGACUGGGAUAACUUCGGGAAACCGGAGCUAAUACCGGAUGAUAUUUUGAACCGCAUGGUUCAAAAGUGAAAGACGGUCUUGCGGUCACUUAUAGAUGGAUCCGCGCUGCAUUAGCUAGUUGGUAAGGUAACGGCUUACCAAGGCAACGAUGCAUAGCCGACCUGAGAGGGUGAUCGGCCACACUGGAGCUGAGGCACGGUCCAGACUCCUACGGGAGGCAGCAGUAGGGAAUCUUCCGCAAUGGGCGAAAGCCUGACGGAGCAACGCCGCGUGAGUGAUGAAGGUCUUCGGAUCGUAAAACUCUGUUAUUAGGGAAGAACAUAUGUGUAAGUAACUGUGCACAUCUUGACGGUACCUAAUCAGAAAGCCCCGGCUAACUACGUG